CGCCCAUAGCUCCUUCGACGGCGCCGCCUAGGAACGCGGAGAAAAUAUGACAAAGGAACGGCCAAAAAUAAAAAGAAAGACCUUUCUUUUGAAAAAACAAACAAAUAAAAGGAAUGCAACACAAGGACUUCCCAGGAGGUCACCCAUCCUAGUACUACUCUCGCCCAAGCACGCUUAACUUCGGAGUUCUGAUGGGAUCCGGUGCUUUAGUGCUGGUAUGAUCGCAUCCGACAUACCGUGCGUUCUCCUCCCCUUUAUGCCCGCGCCUCCGUGUACGGCCCGCCCAUAGCUCCUUCGACGGCGCCGCCUAGGAACGCGGAGAAAAUAUGACAAAGGAACGGCCAAAAAUAAAAAGAAAGACCUUUCUUUUGAAAAAACAAACGCCUCCGUGUACGGCCCGCCCAUAGCUCCUUCGACGGCGCCGCCUAGGAACGCGGAGAAAAUAUGACAAAGGAACGGCCAAAAAUAAAAAGAAAGACCUUUCUUUUGAAAAAACAAACAAAAAAAAGGAAUGCAACACGAGGACUUCCCAGGAGGUCACCCAUCCUAGUACUACUCUCGCCCAAGCACGCUUAACUUCGGAGUUCUGAUGGGAUCCGGUGCUUUAGUGCUGGUAUGAUCGCAUCCGACAUACCGUGCGUUCUCCUCCCCUUUAUGCCCGCGCCUCCGUGUACGGCCCGCCCAUAGCUCCUUCGACGGCGCCGCCUAGGAACGCGGAGAAAAUAUGACAAAGGAACGGCCAAAAAUAAAAAGAAAGACCUUUCUUUUGAAAAAACAAACGCCUCCGUGUACGGCCCGCCCAUAGCUCCUUCGACGGCGCCGCCUAGGAACGCGGAGAAAAUAUGACAAAGGAACGGCCAAAAAUAAAAAGAAAGACCUUUCUUUUGAAAAAACAAACAAAAAAAAGGAAUGCAACACGAGGACUUCCCAGGAGGUCACCCAUCCUAGUACUACUCUCGCCCAAGCACGCUUAACUUCGGAGUUCUGAUGGGAUCCGGUGCUUUAGUGCUGGUAUGAUCGCAUCCGACAUACCGUGCGUUCUCCUCCCCUUUAUGCCCGCGCCUCCGUGUACGGCCCGCCCAUAGCUCCUUCGACGGCGCCGCCUAGGAACGCGGAGAAAAUAUGACAAAGGAACGGCCAAAAAUAAAAAGAAAGACCUUUCUUUUGAAAAAACAAACAAAUAAAAGGAAUGCAACACGAGGACUUCCCAGGAGGUCACCCAUCCUAGUACUACUCUCGCCCAAGCACGCUUAACUUCGGAGUUCUGAUGGGAUCCGGUGCUUUAGUGCUGGUAUGAUCGCAUCCGACAUACCGUGCGUUCUCCUCCCCUUUAUGCCCGCGCCUCCGUGUACGGCCCGCCCAUAGCUCCUUCGACGGCGCCGCCUAGGAACGCGGAGAAAAUAUGACAAAGGAACGGCCAAAAAUAAAAAGAAAGACCUUUCUUUUGAAAAAACAAACAAAAAAAAAGGAAUGCAACACGAGGACUUCCCAGGAGGUCACCCAUCCUAGUACUACUCUCGCCCAAGCACGCUUAACUUCGGAGUUCUGAUGGGAUCCGGUGCUUUAGUGCUGGUAUGAUCGCAUCCGACAUACCGUGCGUUCUCCUCCCCUUUAUGCCCGCGCCUCCGUGUACGGCCCGCCCAUAGCUCCUUCGACGGCGCCGCCUAGGAACGCGGAGAAAAUAUGACAAAGGAACGGCCAAAAAUAAAAAGAAAGACCUUUCUUUUGAAAAAACAAACAAAAAAAAGGAAUGCAACACGAGGACUUCCCAGGAGGUCACCCAUCCUAGUACUACUCUCGCCCAAGCACGCUUAACUUCGGAGUUCUGAUGGGAUCCGGUGCUUUAGUGCUGGUAUGAUCGCAUCCGACAUACCGUGCGUUCUCCUCCCCUUUAUGCCCGCGCCUCCGUGUACGGCCCGCCCAUAGCUCCUUCGACGGCGCCGCCUAGGAACGCGGAGAAAAUAUGACAAAGGAACGGCCAAAAAUAAAAAGAAAGACCUUUCUUUUGAAAAAACAAACAAAAAAAAGGAAUGCAACACGAGGACUUCCCAGGAGGUCACCCAUCCUAGUACUACUCUCGCCCAAGCACGCUUAACUUCGGAGUUCUGAUGGGAUCCGGUGCUCUAGUGCUGGUAUGAUCGCAUCCGACAUACCGUGCGUUCUCCUCCCCUUUAUGCCCGCGCCUCCGUGUACGGCCCGCCCAUAGCUCCUUCGACGGCGCCGCCUAGGAACGCGGAGAAAAUAUGACAAAGGAACGGCCAAAAAUAAAAAGAAAGACCUUUCUUUUGAAAAAACAAACAAAAAAAAAGGAAUGCAACACGAGGACUUCCCAGGAGGUCACCCAUCCUAGUACUACUCUCGCCCAAGCACGCUUAACUUCGGAGUUCUGAUGGGAUCCGGUGCUUUAGUGCUGGUAUGAUCGCAUCCGACAUACCGUGCGUUCUCCUCCCCUUUAUGCCCGCGCCUCCGUGUACGGCCCGCCCAUAGCUCCUUCGACGGCGCCGCCUAGGAACGCGGAGAAAAUAUGACAAAGGAACGGCCAAAAAUAAAAAGAAAGACCUUUCUUUUGAAAAAACAAACAAAUAAAAGGAAUGCAACACGAGGACUUCCUAGGAGGUCACCCAUCCUAGUACUACUCUCGCCCAAGCACGCUUAACUUCGGAGUUCUAAUGGGAUCCGGUGCUUUAGUGCUGGUAUGAUCGCAUCCGACAUACCGUGCGUUCUCCUCCCCUUUAUGCCCGCGCCUCCGUGUACGGCCCGCCCAUAGCUCCUUCGACGGCGCCGCCUAGGAACGCGGAGAAAAUAUGACAAAGGAACGGCCAAAAAUAAAAAGAAAGACCUUUCUUUUGAAAAAACAAACAAAAAAAAGGAAUGCAACACGAGGACUUCCCAGGAGGUCACCCAUCCUAGUACUACUCUCGCCCAAGCACGCUUAACUUCGGAGUUCUGAUGGGAUCCGGUGCUUUAGUGCUGGUAUGAUCGCAUCCGACAUACCGUGCGUUCUCCUCCCCUUUAUGCCCGCGCCUCCGUGUACGGCCCGCCCAUAGCUCCUUCGACGGCGCCGCCUAGGAACGCGGAGAAAAUAUGACAAAGGAACGGCCAAAAAUAAAAAGAAAGACCUUUCUUUUGAAAAAACAAACAAAAAAAAGGAAUGCAACACGAGGACUUCCCAGGAGGUCACCCAUCCUAGUACUACUCUCGCCCAAGCACGCUUAACUUCGGAGUUCUGAUGGGAUCCGGUGCUUUAGUGCUGGUAUGAUCGCAUCCGACAUACCGUGCGUUCUCCUCCCCUUUAUGCCCGCGCCUCCGUGUACGGCCCGCCCAUAGCUCCUUCGACGGCGCCGCCUAGGAACGCGGAGAAAAUAUGACAAAGGAACGGCCAAAAAUAAAAAGAAAGACCUUUCUUUUGAAAAAACAAACAAAAAAAAGGAAUGCAACACGAGGACUUCCCAGGAGGUCACCCAUCCUAGUACUACUCUCGCCCAAGCACGCUUAACUUCGGAGUUCUGAUGGGAUCCGGUGCUUUAGUGCUGGUAUGAUCGAAUCCGACAUACCGUGCGUUCUCCUCCCCUUUAUGCCCGCGCCUCCGUGUACGGUCCGCCCAUAGCUCCUUCGACGGCGCCGCCUAGGAACGCGGAGAAAAUAUGACAAAGGAACGGCCAAAAAUAAAAAGAAAGACCUUUCUUUUGAAAAAACAAACAAAUAAAAGGAAUGCAACACGAGGACUUCCCAGGAGGUCACCCAUCCUAGUACUACUCUCGCCCAAGCACGCUUAACUUCGGAGUUCUGAUGGGAUCCGGUGCUUUAGUGCUGGUAUGAUCGCAUCCGACAUACCGUGCGUUCUCCUCCCCUUUAUGCCCGCGCCUCCGUGUACGGCCCGCCCAUAGCUCCUUCGACGGCGCCGCCUAGGAACGCGGAGAAAAUAUGACAAAGGAACGGCCAAAAAUAAAAAGAAAGACCUUUCUUUUGAAAAAACAAACAAAUAAAAGGAAUGCAACACGAGGACUUCCCAGGAGGUCACCCAUCCUAGUACUACUCUCGCCCAAGCACGCUUAACUUCGGAGUUCUGAUGGGAUCCGGUGCUUUAGUGCUGGUAUGAUCGCAUCCGACAUACCGUGCGUUCUCCUCCCCUUUAUGCCCGCGCCUCCGUGUACGGCCCGCCCAUAGCUCCUUCGACGGCGCCGCCUAGGAACGCGGAGAAAAUAUGACAAAGGAACGGCCAAAAAUAAAAAGAAAGACCUUUCUUUUGAAAAAACAAACAAAAAAAAGGAAUGCAGCACCAGGACUUCCCGGAAGGUCACCCAUCCAAAUACAACUCUCGCCGAACCACGUUUAACUUCGAAUUUCUAAUGGAAUCCGGGGCUUUAGAGCUGGAAUGAUCGCAUCCGACAUACCGUGCGUUCUCCUCCCCUUUAUGCCCGCGCCUCCGUGUACGGCCCGCCCAUAGCUCCUUCGACGGCGCCGCCUAGGAACGCGGAGAAAAUAUGACAAAGGAGCGGCCAAAAAUAAAAAGAAAGACCUUUCUUUUGAAAAAACAAACAAAUAAAAGGAAUGCAACACGAGGACUUCCUAGGAGGUCACCCAUCCUAGUACUACUCUCGCCCAAGCACGCUUAACUUCGGAGUUCUGAUGGGAUCCGGUGCUUUAGUGCUGGUAUGAUCGCAUCCGACAUACCGUGCGUUCUCCUCCCCUUUAUGCCCGCGCCUCCGUGUACGGCCCGCCCAUAGCUCCUUCGACGGCGCCGCCUAGGAACGCGGAGAAAAUAUGACAAAGGAACGGCCAAAAAUAAAAAGAAAGACCUUUCUUUUGAAAAAACAAACGCCUCCGUGUACGGCCCGCCCAUAGCUCCUUCGACGGCGCCGCCUAGGAACGCGGAGAAAAUAUGACAAAGGAACGGCCAAAAAUAAAAAGAAAGACCUUUCUUUUGAAAAAACAAACAAAAAAAAGGAAUGCAACACGAGGACUUCCCAGGAGGUCACCCAUCCUAGUACUACUCUCGCCCAAGCACGCUUAACUUCGGAGUUCUGAUGGGAUCCGGUGCUUUAGUGCUGGUAUGAUCGCAUCCGACAUACCGUGCGUUCUCCUCCCCUUUAUGCCCGCGCCUCCGUGUACGGCCCGCCCAUAGCUCCUUCGACGGCGCCGCCUAGGAACGCGGAGAAAAUAUGACAAAGGAACGGCCAAAAAUAAAAAGAAAGACCUUUCUUUUGAAAAAACAAACAAAUAAAAGGAAUGCAACACGAGGACUUCCCAGGAGGUCACCCAUCCUAGUACUACUCUCGCCCAAGCACGCUUAACUUCGGAGUUCUGAUGGGAUCCGGUGCUUUAGUGCUGGUAUGAUCGCAUUCGACAUACCGAUGCGUUCUCAUCCCCGUUAUGCGCCGCGCCUCUGUGUACGGCCCGCCCAUAGCUCCUUUGACUGCGCCUCGUAGGAUCGCGGAGAAUAUAUGACAAAGGCACGGCCAAACAUAAAACGAAAGACCUCUCUUUUGCAACAACAAACAAAAUAAAGGAAUGCAACACGAGGACUUCCCAGGAGGUCACCCAUCCUAGUACUAGUCUCGCUCAAGCACGCUGAUCUUCGGAGUUCUGAUGGGAUCCGGUGCUUUAGUGCUGGUAUGAUCGCAUCCGACAUACCGUGCGUUCUCCUCCCCUUUAUGCCCGCGCCUCCGUGUACGGCCCGCCCAUAGCUCCUUCGACGGCGCCGCCUAGGAACGCGGAGAAAAUAUGACAAAGGAACGGCCAAAAAUAAAAAGAAAGACCUUUCUUUUGAAAAAACAAACAAAAAAAAGGAAUGCAACACGAGGACUUCCCAGGAGGUCACCCAUCCUAGUACUACUCUCGCCCAAGCACGCUUAACUUCGGAGUUCUGAUGGGAUCCGGUGCUUUAGUGCUGGUAUGAUCGCAUCCGACAUACCGUGCGUUCUCCUCCCCUUUAUGCCCGCGCCUCCGUGUACGGCCCGCCCAUAGCUCCUUCGACGGCGCCGCCUAGGAACGCGGAGAAAAUAUGACAAAGGAACGGCCAAAAAUAAAAAGAAAGACCUUUCUUUUGAAAAAACAAACAAAUAAAAGGAAUGCAACACGAGGACUUCCCAGGAGGUCACCCAUCCUAGUACUACUCUCGCCCAAGCACGCUUAACUUCGGAGUUCUGAUGGGAUCCGGUGCUUUAGUGCUGGUAUGAUCGCAUCCGACAUACCGUGCGUUCUCCUCCCCUUUAUGCCCGCGCCUCCGUGUACGGCCCGCCCAUAGCUCCUUCGACGAGCCCGCCUAGGAACGCGGAGAAAAUAUGACAAAGGAACGGCCAAAAAUAAAAAGAAAGACCUUUCUUUUGAAAAAACAAACAAAUAAAAGGAAUGCAACACGAGGACUUCCCAGGAGGUCACCCAUCCUAGUACUACUCUCGCCCAAGCACGCUUAACUUCGGAGUUCUGAUGGGAUCCGGUGCUUUAGUGCUGGUAUGAUCGCAUCCGACAUACCGUGCGUUCUCCUCCCCUUUAUGCCCGCGCCUCCGUGUACGGCCCGCCCAUAGCUCCUUCGACGGCGCCGCCUAGGAACGCGGAGAAAAUAUGACAAAGGAACGGCCAAAAAUAAAAAGAAAGACCUUUCUUUUGAAAAAACAAACAAAAAAAAGGAAUGCAACACGAGGACUUCCCAGGAGGUCACCCAUCCUAGUACUACUCUCGCCCAAGCACGCUUAACUUCGGAGUUCUGAUGGGAUCCGGUGCUUUAGUGCUGGUAUGAUCGCAUCCGACAUACCGUGCGUUCUCCUCCCCUUUAUGCCCGCGCCUCCGUGUACGGCCCGCCCAUAGCUCCUUCGACGGCGCCGCCUAGGAACGCGGAGAAAAUAUGACAAAGGAACGGCCAAAAAUAAAAAGAAAGACCUUUCUUUUGAAAAAACAAACAAAUAAAAGGAAUGCAACACGAGGACUUCCCAGGAGGUCACCCAUCCUAGUACUACUCUCGCCCAAGCACGCUUAACUUCGGAGUUCUGAUGGGAUCCGGUGCUUUAGUGCUGGUAUGAUCGCAUCCGACAUACCGUGCGUUCUCCUCCCCUUUAUGCCCGCGCCUCCGUGUACGGCCCGCCCAUAGCUCCUUCGACGGCGCCGCCUAGGAACGCGGAGAAAAUAUGACAAAGGAACGGCCAAAAAUAAAAAGAAAGACCUUUCUUUUGAAAAAACAAACAAAUAAAAGGAAUGCAACACGAGGACUUCCCAGGAGGUCACCCAUCCUAGUACUACUCUCGCCCAAGCACGCUUAACUUCGGAGUUCUGAUGGGAUCCGGUGCUUUAGUGCUGGUAUGAUCGCAUCCGACAUACCGUGCGUUCUCCUCCCCUUUAUGCCCGCGCCUCCGUGUACGGUCCGCCCAUAGCUCUUUAGUUGGCGCCUCCUAGGAACGCGGAGAAAAUAUGACAAAGGAACGGCCAAAAAUAAAAAGAAAGACCUUUCUUUUGAAAAAACAAACGCCUCCGUGUACGGCCCGCCCAUAGCUCCUUCGACGGCGCCGCCUAGGAACGCGGAGAAAAUAUGACAAAGGAACGGCCAAAAAUAAAAAGAAAGACCUUUCUUUUGAAAAAACAAACAAAAAAAAGGAAUGCAACACGAGGACUUCCCAGGAGGUCACCCAUCCUAGUACUACUCUCGCCCAAGCACGCUUAACUUCGGAGUUCUGAUGGGAUCCGGUGCUUUAGUGCUGGUAUGAUCGCAUCCGACAUACCGUGCGUUCUCCUCCCCUUUAUGCCCGCGCCUCCGUGUACGGCCCGCCCAUAGCUCCUUCGACGGCGCCGCCUAGGAACGCGGAGAAAAUAUGACAAAGGAACGGCCAAAAAUAAAAAGAAAGACCUUUCUUUUGAAAAAACAAACAAAUAAAAGGAAUGCAACACGAGGAGUUCCCAGGAGGUCACCCAUCCUAGUACUACUCUCGCCCAAGCACGCUUAACUUCGGAGUUCUGAUGGGAUCCGGUGCUUUAGUGCUGGUAUGAUCGCAUCCGACAUACCGUGCGUUCUCCUCCCCUUUAUGCCCGCGCCUCCGUGUACGGCCCGCCCAUAGCUCCUUCGAUGGCGCCGCCUAGGAACGCGGAGAAAAUAUGACAAAGGAACGGCCAAAAAUAAAAAGAAAGACCUUUCUUUUGAAAAAACAAACGCCUCCGUGUACGGCCCGCCCAUAGCUCCUUCGACGGCGCCGCCUAGGAACGCGGAGAAAAUAUGACAAAGGAACGGCCAAAAAUAAAAAGAAAGACCUUUCUUUUGAAAAAACAAACAAAAAAAAGGAAUGCAACACGAGGACUUCCCAGGAGGUCACCCAUCCUAGUACUACUCUCGCCCAAGCACGCUUAACUUCGGAGUUCGGAUGGGAUCCGGUGCUUUAGUGCUGGUAUGAUCGCAUCCGACAUACCGUGCGUUCUCCUCCCCUUUAUGCCCGCGCCUCCGUGUACGGCCCGCCCAUAGCUCCUUCGACGGCGCCGCCUAGGAACGCGGAGAAAAUAUGACAAAGGAACGGCCAAAAAUAAAAAGAAAGACCUUUCUUUUGAAAAAACAAACAAAUAAAAGGAAUGCAACACGAGGACUUCCCAGGAGGUCACCCAUCCUAGUACUACUCUCGCCCAAGCACGCUUAACUUCGGAGUUCUGAUGGGAUCCGGUGCUUUAGUGCUGGUAUGAUCGCAUCCGACAUACCGUGCGUUCUCCUCCCCUUUAUGCCCGCGCCUCCGUGUACGGCCCGCCCAUAGCUCCUUCGACGGCGCCGCCUAGGAACGCGGAGAAAAUAUGACAAAGGAACGGCCAAAAAUAAAAAGAAAGACCUUUCUUUUGAAAAAACAAACAAAAAAAAGGAAUGCAACACGAGGACUUCCCAGGAGGUCACCCAUCCUAGUACUACUCUCGCCCAAGCACGCUUAACUUCGCAGUUCUGAUGGGAUCCGGUGCUUUAGUGCUGGUAUGAUCGCAUCCGACAUACCGUGCGUUCUCCUCCCCUUUAUGCCCGCGCCUCCGUGUACGGCCCGCCCAUAGCUCCUUCGACGGCGCCGCCUAGGAACGCGGAGAAAAUAUGACAAAGGAACGGCCAAAAAUAAAAAGAAAGACCUUUCUUUUGAAAAAACAAACGGCUCCGUGUACGGCCCGCCCAUAGCUCCUUCGACGGCGCCGCCUAGGAACGCGGAGAAAAUAUGACAAAGGAACGGCCAAAAAUAAAAAGAAAGACCUUUCUUUUGAAAAAACAAACAAAAAAAAGGAAUGCAACACGAGGACUUCCCAGGAGGUCACCCAUCCUAGUACUACUCUCGCCCAAGCACGCUUAACUUCGGAGUUCUGAUGGGAUCCGGUGCUUUAGUGCUGGUAUGAUCGCAUCCGACAUACCGUGCGUUCUCCUCCCCUUUAUGCCCGCGCCUCCGUGUACGGCCCGCCCAUAGCUCCUUCGACGGCGCCGCCUAGGAACGCGGAGAAAAUAUGACAAAGGAACGGCCAAAAAUAAAAAGAAAGACCUUUCUUUUGAAAAAACAAACAAAUAAAAGGAAUGCAACACGAGGACUUCCCAGGAGGUCACCCAUCCUAGUACUACUCUCGCCCAAGCACGCUUAACUUCGGAGUUCUGAUGGGAUCCGGUGCUUUAGUGCUGGUAUGAUCGCAUCCGACAUACCGUGUGUCGACGAAAGCUGGUCGGCAGUCUACCUUGGGGUAUACCCACGGUAGUAGUUUAUCGGUAGACGGUGCGCAAACUACGAACUCGAUGGUGACGCAAGACACGGACAAGCUUUUUAUCCAGGUUCGGCCGCCGAGUUGGCGUAAUACCUACGUCCUGCGUCUGGUUGUAUUGGAUUGUGUUUAGAGAUAAUCUACCCUAGGGGGUCCCCUUGCCCCUCCUUAUAUAGUCUGGAGGGCAGGGUUACAGAUCUAGAAACUAAUCCUAGCCGGUUACAAUUGCCAUAGAUAAUUCGAUAUCAAUUCCUAUUCUAACCGACUAGAAUCCUGCUUGAUCUCCACGUCCUGUUUCCUUGCGCGAAACUCGGGCUAUCGGAUCAAGCCUUGAACUCGUCUCGUAGUGGGCCAAGCUUCCUAGCUGAAGUCUAGCCGUAAGGGUAUAGGGGUUUAUACCCCCACAGCUAGUCCCCGAGCGCCAUGUAUUGUGACGCAACACUCCGUCUUGAGCUUCUUCGAUCAGCGUGGUCUGUCGUCUUCAAUGAGCGGGGAAAUCGCCCAAACGGUUCAUUGAUCAACGUUGUCAUCGAAGAAGCAGGUUGUUCGAAGAAUGCAUGGUGCUCUAAAAAAAAUUUCUUUCCUGGUGAAGUGUGCCCACUUUGCCUUUCUGAAAGGUAGAAGCAACAAAAAAGCAAGCAAAUUCACCGCUAGGUGAAGUGUGCCCACUUAGUCCCCGAGCCUGGUAGUAGGUGUCGUAGGCACGUGGUGCCAGGGUCAAAAGAAAAUUCCCCAAAGUAGUUUUGGGACUGAGAUGCAUCGUACCGAUGUAGUCCCCGAGCUUGCUGGAAGGCGAAGUAUGAGCCUUGUAGCAAGGUCUAAAAAAUUGAAUUUACCAGUCCCCGAGCAUGUCAUGCUCGUCUGCAAUCGAAAAGACCAAUCGACCAGUCCCCAGGCACUUAGUGUGCUGCCUGGAAUUACAUGUUACUAUACUGUACGACCAGUCCCCGAGCAUCGAGUGCUCAGUGGUCGGUGCAUGCUUUAAAGCUUUGAGCUGAUAGACUGAGCGACCAGUCCCCGAGCGUCGAGUGCUCGGUGGUCGGUGAAGUCUUUGAAGUUCCGAGCUGAUAAACUGGGCGACCAGUCCCCGAGCGUCGAGUGCUCGGUGGUCGGUGCAGUCUUUGAAGUUCCGAGCUAAUAAACUGGGCGACCAGUCCCCGAGCGUCGAGUGCUCGGUGGUCGGUGCAGUCUUUGAAGUUCCGAGCUAAUAAACUGGGCGACCAGUCCCCGAGCGUCGAGUGCUCGGUGGUCGGUGCAGUCCCCGGAUUGCUGACUCACUGGCGUAUGUGUCUUCUUACUUUUGAAAAGGUCUUUCAAAUUUAAAGUUGACGUGACGGGGUCUCCUGACGAUAUGUCAGACGGAUGCAUGAAAAGCUGUGCCUGGCAACUGUACAACCGCUCUUUGCNNNNNNNNNNNNNNNNNNNNNNNNNNNNNNNNNNNNNNNNNNNNNNNNNNNNNNNNNNNNNNNNNNNNNNNNNNNNNNNNNNNNNNNNNNNNNNNNNNNNCGUUCUCCUCCCCUUUAUGCCCGCGCCUCCGUGUCCGUAAAGGGCAUAGCUCCUUCGACGGCGCCGCCGUAGGAACGCUGAGAAGAUAUGACAAAGGAACGGCCAAAAAUAAAAAGAAAGACCUUUCUUUUGAAAAAACAAACAAAAAAAAGGAAUGCAACACGAGGACUUCCCAGGAGGUCACCCAUCCUAGUACUACUCUCGCCCAAGCACGCUUAACUUCGGAGUUCUGAUGGGAUCCGGUGCUUUAGUGCUGGUAUGAUCGCAUCCGACAUACCGUGCGUUCUCCUCCCCUUUAUGCCCGCGCCUCCGUGUACGGCCGGCCCAUAGCUCCUUCGACGGCGCCGCCUAGGAACGCGGAGAAAAUAUGACAAAGGAAUUUUUUUAAAUAAAAAGAAAGACCUUUCUUUUGAAAAAACAAACGAAAAAAAGGAAUGCAACACGAGGACUUCCCAGGAGGUCACCCAUCCUAGUACUACUCUCGCCCAAGCACGCUUAACUUCGGAGUUCUGAUGGGAUCCGGUGCUUUAGUGCUGGUAUGAUCGCAUCCGACAUACCGUGCGUUCUCCUCCCCUUUAUGCCCGCGCCUCCGUGUACGGCCCGCCCAUAGCUCCUUCGACGGCGCCGCCUAAGAACGCGGAAAAAAUAUGACAAAGGAACGGCCAAAAAUAAAAAAAAAAAACCUUUCUUUUGAAAAAANNNNNNNNNNNNNNNNNNNNNNNNNNNNNNNNNNNNNNNNNNNNNNNNNNNNNNNNNNNNNNNNNNNNNNNNNNNNNNNNNNNNNNNNNNNNNNNNNNNNAAAAGGAAUGCAACACGAGGACUUCCCAGGAGGUCACCCAUCCUAGUACUACUCUCGCCCAAGCACGCUUAACUUCGGAGUUCUGAUGGGAUCCGGUGCUUUAGUGCUGGUAUGAUCGCAUCCGACAUACCGUGCGUUCUCCUCCCCUUUAUGCCCGCGCCUCCGUGUUACGGCCCGCCCAUAGCUCCUUCGACGGCGCCGCCUAGGAACGCGGAGAAAAUAUGACAAAGGAACGGCCAAAAAUCAAAAGAAAGACCUUUCUUUUGAAAAAACACACGCCUCCGUGUACGGCCCGCCCAUAGCUCCUUCGACGGCGCCGCCUAGGAACGCGGAGAAAAUAUGACAAAGGAACGGCCAAAAAUAAAAAGAAAGACCUUUCUUUUGAAAAAACAAACAAAUAAAAGGAAUGCAACACGAGGACUUCCCAGGAGGUCACCCAUCCUAGUACUACUCUCGCCCAAGCACGCUUAACUUCGGAGUUCUGAUGGGAUCCGGUGCUUUAGUGCUGGUAUGAUCGCAUCCGACAUACCGUGCGUUCUCCUCCCCUUUAUGCCCGCGCCUCCGUGUACGGCCCGCCCAUAGCUCCUUCGACGGCGCCGCCUAGGAACGCGGAGAAAAUAUGACAAAGGAACGGCCAAAAAUAAAAAGAAAGACCUUUCUUUUGAAAAAACAAACAAAUAAAAGGAAUGCAACACGAGGACUUCCCAGGAGGUCACCCAUCCUAGUACUACUCUCGCCCAAGCACGCUUAACUUCGGAGUUCUGAUGGGAUCCGGUGCUUUAGUGCUGGUAUGAUCGCAUCCGACAUACCGUGCGUUCUCCUCCCCUUUAUGCCCGCGCCUCCGUGUACGGCCCGCCCAUAGCUCCUUCGACGGCGCCGCCUAGGAACGCGGAGAAAAUAUGACAAAGGAACGGCCAAAAAUAAAAAGAAAGACCUUUCUUUUGAAAAAACAAACGCCUCCGUGUACGGCCCGCCCAUAGCUCCUUCGACGGCGCCGCCUAGGAACGCGGAGAAAAUAUGACAAAGGAACGGCCAAAAAUAAAAAGAAAGACCUUUCUUUUGAAAAAACAAACAAAAAAAAGGAAUGCAACACGAGGACUUCCCAGGAGGUCACCCAUCCUAGUACUACUCUCGCCCAAGCACGCUUAACUUCGGAGUUCUGAUGGGAUCCGGUGCUUUAGUGCUGGUAUGAUCGCAUCCGACAUACCGUGCGUUCUCCUCCCCUUUAUGCCCGCGCCUCCGUGUACGGCCCGCCCAUAGCUCCUUCGACGGCGCCGCCUAGGAACGCGGAGAAAAUAUGACAAAGGAACGGCCAAAAAUAAAAAGAAAGACCUUUCUUUUGAAAAAACAAACAAAUAAAAGGAAUGCAACACGAGGACUUCCCAGGAGGUCACCCAUCCUAGUACUACUCUCGCCCAAGCACGCUUAACUUCGGAGUUCUGAUGGGAUCCGGUGCUUUAGUGCUGGUAUGAUCGCAUCCGACAUACCGUGCGUUCUCCUCCCCUUUAUGCCCGCGCCUCCGUGUACGGCCCGCCCAUAGCUCCUUCGACGGCGCCGCCUAGGAACGCGGAGAAAAUAUGACAAAGGAACGGCCAAAAAUAAAAAGAAAGACCUUUCUUUUGAAAAAACAAACGCCUCCGUGUACGGCCCGCCCAUAGCUCCUUCGACGGCGCCGCCUAGGAACGCGGAGAAAAUAUGACAAAGGAACGGCCAAAAAUAAAAAGAAAGACCUUUCUUUUGAAAAAACAAACAAAAAAAAGGAAUGCAACACGAGGACUUCCCAGGAGGUCACCCAUCCUAGUACUACUCUCGCCCAAGCACGCUUAACUUCGGAGUUCUGAUGGGAUCCGGUGCUUUAGUGCUGGUAUGAUCGCAUCCGACAUACCGUGCGUUCUCCUCCCCUUUAUGCCCGCGCCUCCGUGUACGGCCCGCCCAUAGCUCCUUCGACGGCGCCGCCUAGGAACGCGGAGAAAAUAUGACAAAGGAACGGCCAAAAAUAAAAAGAAAGACCUUUCUUUUGAAAAAACAAACAAAUAAAAGGAAUGCAACACGAGGACUUCCCAGGAGGUCACCCAUCCUAGUACUACUCUCGCCCAAGCACGCUUAACUUCGGAGUUCUGAUGGGAUCCGGUGCUUUAGUGCUGGUAUGAUCGCAUCCGACAUACCGUGCGUUCUCCUCCCCUUUAUGCCCGCGCCUCCGUGUACGGCCCGCCCAUAGCUCCUUCGACGGCGCCGCCUAGGAACGCGGAGAAAAUAUGACAAAGGAACGGCCAAAAAUAAAAAGAAAGACCUUUCUUUUGAAAAAACAAACAAAAAAAAGGAAUGCAACACGAGGACUUCCCAGGAGGUCACCCAUCCUAGUACUACUCUCGCCCAAGCACGCUUAACUUCGGAGUUCUGAUGGGAUCCGGUGCUUUAGUGCUGGUAUGAUCGCAUCCGACAUACCGUGCGUUCUCCUCCCCUUUAUGCCCGCGCCUCCGGGUACGGUCCUCCCAUAGCUCCGUCAACGGCCCGCCUAGGAACGCGGAGAAAAUAUGACAAAGGAACGGCCAAAAAUAAAAAGAAAGCCCUUUCUUUUGAAAAGACAACCGAAUAAAAGGAAUGCCACGCGAGGACUUCCCAGGAGGUCACCCAUCAUAGUACUACUCUCGCCCAAGCACGCUUAACUUCGGAGUUCUGAUGGGAUCCGGUGCUUUAGUGCUGGUAUGAUCGCAUCCGACAUACCGCGCGUUCUCCUCCCCUUAAGGCCCGCGCCUCCGUGUACGGCCCGCCCAUAGCUCCUUAGACGGCACCUCCUAGGAACGCGGAGAAAAUAUGACAAAGGAACGGCCAAAAAUAAAAAGAAAGACCUUUCUUUUGAAAAAACAAACGCCUCCGUGUACGGCCCGCCCAUAGCUCCUUCGACGGCGCCGCCUAGGAACGCGGAGAAAAUAUGACAAAGGAACGGCCAAAAAUAAAAAGAAAGACCUUUCUUUUGAAAAAACAAACAAAAAAAAGGAAUGCAACACGAGGACUUCCCAGGAGGUCACCCAUCCUAGUACUACUCUCGCCCAAGCACGCUUAACUUCGGAGUUCUGAUGGGAUCCGGUGCUUUAGUGCUGGUAUGAUCGCAUCCGACAUACCGUGCGUUCUCCUCCCCUUUAUGCCCGCGCCUCCGUGUACGGCCCGCCCAUAGCUCCUUCGACGGCGCCGCCUAGGAACGCGGAGAAAAUAUGACAAAGGAACGGCCAAAAAUAAAAAGAAAGACCUUUCUUUUGAAAAAACAAACGCCUCCGCGUACGGCCCGCCCAUAGCUCCUUCGACGGCGCCGCCUAGGAACGCGGAGAAAAUAUGACAAAGGAACGGCCAAAAAUAAAAAGAAAGACCUUUCUUUUGAAAAAACAAACAAAAAAAAGGAAUGCAACACGAGGACUUCCCAGGAGGUCACCCAUCCUAGUACUACUCUCGCCCAAGCACGCUUAACUUCGGAGUUCUGAUGGGAUCCGGUGCUUUAGUGCUGGUAUGAUCGCAUCCGACAUACCGUGCGUUCUCCUCCCCUUUAUGCCCGCGCCUCCGUGUACGGCCCGCCCAUAGCUCCUUCGACGGCGCCGCCUAGGAACGCGGAGAAAAUAUGACAAAGGAACGGCCAAAAAUAAAAAGAAAGACCUUUCUUUUGAAAAAACAAACAAAUAAAAGGAAUGCAACACGAGGACUUCCCAGGAGGUCACCCAUCCUAGUACUACUCUCGCCCAAGCACGCUUAACUUCGGAGUUCUGAUGGGAUCCGGUGCUUUAGUGCUGGUAUGAUCGCAUCCGACAUACCGUGCGUUCUCCUCCCCUUUAUGCCCGCGCCUCCGUGUACGGCCCGCCCAUAGCUCCUUCGACGGCGCCGCCUAGGAACGCGGAGAAAAUAUGACAAAGGAACGGCCAAAAAUAAAAAGAAAGACCUUUCUUUUGAAAAAACAAACAAAUAAAAGGAAUGCAACACGAGGACUUCCCAGGAGGUCACCCAUCCUAGUACUACUCUCGCCCAAGCACGCUUAACUUCGGAGUUCUGAUGGGAUCCGGUGCUUUAGUGCUGGUAUGAUCGCAUCCGACAUACCGUGCGUUCUCCUCCCCUUUAUGCCCGCGCCUCCGUGUACGGCCCGCCCAUAGCUCCUUCGACGGCGCCGCCUAGGAACGCGGAGAAAAUAUGACAAAGGAACGGCCAAAAAUAAAAAGAAAGACCUUUCUUUUGAAAAAACAAACGCCUCCGUGUACGGCCCGCCCAUAGCUCCUUCGACGGCGCCGCCUAGGAACGCGGAGAAAAUAUGACAAAGGAACGGCCAAAAAUAAAAAGAAAGACCUUUCUUUUGAAAAAACAAACAAAAAAAAGGAAUGCAACACGAGGACUUCCCAGGAGGUCACCCAUCCUAGUACUACUCUCGCCCAAGCACGCUUAACUUCGGAGUUCUGAUGGGAUCCGGUGCUUUAGUGCUGGUAUGAUCGCAUCCGACAUACCGUGCGUUCUCCUCCCCUUUAUGCCCGCGCCUCCGUGUACGGCCCGCCCAUAGCUCCUUCGACGGCGCCGCCUAGGAACGCGGAGAAAAUAUGACAAAGGAACGGCCAAAAAUAAAAAGAAAGACCUUUCUUUUGAAAAAACAAACAAAUAAAAGGAAUGCAACACGAGGACUUCCCAGGAGGUCACCCAUCCUAGUACUACUCUCGCCCAAGCACGCUUAACUUCGGAGUUCUGAUGGGAUCCGGUGCUUUAGUGCUGGUAUGAUCGCAUCCGACAUACCGUGCGUUCUCCUCCCCUUUAUACCCGCGCCUCCGUGUACGGCCCGCCCAUAGCUCCUUCGACGGCGCCGCCUAGGAACGCGGAGAAAAUAUGACAAAGGAACGGCCAAAAAUAAAAAGAAAGACCUUUCUUUUGAAAAAACAAACAAAUAAAAGGAAUGCAACACGAGGACUUCCCAGGAGGUCACCCAUCCUAGUACUACUCUCGCCCAAGCACGCUUAACUUCGGAGUUCUGAUGGGAUCCGGUGCUUUAGUGCUGGUAUGAUCGCAUCCGACAUACCGUGCGUUCUCCUCCCCUUUAUGCCCGCGCCUCCGUGUACGGCCCGCCCAUAGCUCCUUCGACGGCGCCGCCUAGGAACGCGGAGAAAAUAUGACAAAGGAACGGCCAAAAAUAAAAAGAAAGACCUUUCUUUUGAAAAAACAAACGCCUCCGUGUACGGCCCGCCCAUAGCUCCUUCGACGGCGCCGCCUAGGAACGCGGAGAAAAUAUGACAAAGGAACGGCCAAAAAUAAAAAGAAAGACCUUUCUUUUGAAAAAACAAACAAAAAAAAGGAAUGCAACACGAGGACUUCCCAGGAGGUCACCCAUCCUAGUACUACUCUCGCCCAAGCACGCUUAACUUCGGAGUUCUGAUGGGAUCCGGUGCUUUAGUGCUGGUAUGAUCGCAUCCGACAUACCGUGCGUUCUCCUCCCCUUUAUACCCGCGCCUCCGUGUACGGCCCGCCCAUAGCUCCUUCGACGGCGCCGCCUAGGAACGCGGAGAAAAUAUGACAAAGGAACGGCCAAAAAUAAAAAGAAAGACCUUUCUUUUGAAAAAACAAGCAAAAAAAAGGAAUGCAACACGAGGACUUCCCAGGAGGUCACCCAUCCUAGUACUACUCUCGCCCAAGCACGCUUAACUUCGGAGUUCUGAUGGGAUCCGGUGCUUUAGUGCUGGUAUGAUCGCAUCCGACAUACCGUGCGUUCUCCUCCCCUUUAUGCCCGCGCCUCCGUGUACGGCCCGCCCAUAGCUCCUUCGACAGCGCCGCCUAGGAACGCGGAGAAAAUAUGACAAAGGAACGGCAAAAAAUAAAAAGAAAGACCUUUCUUUUGAAAAAACAAACAAAAAAAAGGAAUGCAACACGCGGACUUCCCAGGAGGUCACCCAUCCUAGUACUACUCUCGCCUAAGCACGCUUAACUUCGGAGUNNNNNNNNNNNNNNNNNNNNNNNNNNNNNNNNNNNNNNNNNNNNNNNNNNNNNNNNNNNNNNNNNNNNNNNNNNNNNNNNNNNNNNNNNNNNNNNNNNNNNNNNNNNNNNNNNNNNNNNNNNNNNNNNNNNNNNNNNNNNNNNNNNNNNNNNNNNNNNNNNNNNNNNNNNNNNNNNNNNNNNNNNNNNNNNNNNNNNNNNNNNNNNNNNNNNNNNNNNNNNNNNNNNNNNNNNNNNNNNNNNNNNNNNNNNNNNNNNNNNNNNNNNNNNNNNNNNNNNNNNNNNNNNNNNNNNNNNNNNNNNNNNNNNNNNNNNNNNNNNNNNNNNNNNNNNNNNNNNNNNNNNNNNNNNNNNNNNNNNNNNNNNNNNNNNNNNNNNNNNNNNNNNNNNNNNNNNNNNNNNNNNNNNNNNNNNNNNNNNNNNNNNNNNNNNNNNNNNNNNNNNNNNNNNNNNNNNNNNNNNNNNNNNNNNNNNNNNNNNNNNNNNNNNNNNNNNNNNNNNNNNNNNNNNNNNNNNNNNNNNNNNNNNNNNNNNNNNNNNNNNNNNNNNNNNNNNNNNNNNNNNNNNNNNNNNNNNNNNNNNNNNNNNNNNNNNNNNNNNNNNNNNNNNNNNNNNNNNNNNNNNNNNNNNNNNNNNNNNNNNNNNNNNNNNNNNNNNNNNNNNNNNNNNNNNNNNNNNNNNNNNNNNNNNNNNNNNNNNNNNNNNNNNNNNNNNNNNNNNNNNNNNNNNNNNNNNNNNNNNNNNNNNNNNNNNNNNNNNNNNNNNNNNNNNNNNNNNNNNNNNNNNNNNNNNNNNNNNNNNNNNNNNNNNNNNNNNNNNNNNNNNNNNNNNNNNNNNNNNNNNNNNNNNNNNNNNNNNNNNNNNNNNNNNNNNNNNNNNNNNNNNNNNNNNNNNNNNNNNNNNNNNNNNNNNNNNNNNNNNNNNNNNNNNNNNNNNNNNNNNNNNNNNNNNNNNNNNNNNNNNNNNNNNNNNNNNNNNNNNNNNNNNNNNNNNNNNNNNNNNNNNNNNNNNNNNNNNNNNNNNNNNNNNNNNNNNNNNNNNNNNNNNNNNNNNNNNNNNNNNNNNNNNNNNNNNNNNNNNNNNNNNNNNNNNNNNNNNNNNNNNNNNNNNNNNNNNNNNNNNNNNNNNNNNNNNNNNNNNNNNNNNNNNNNNNNNNNNNNNNNNNNNNNNNNNNNNNNNNNNNNNNNNNNNNNNNNNNNNNNNNNNNNNNNNNNNNNNNNNNNNNNNNNNNNNNNNNNNNNNNNNNNNNNNNNNNNNNNNNNNNNNNNNNNNNNNNNNNNNNNNNNNNNNNNNNNNNNNNNNNNNNNNNNNNNNNNNNNNNNNNNNNNNNNNNNNNNNNNNNNNNNNNNNNNNNNNNNNNNNNNNNNNNNNNNNNNNNNNCCUUCAUCCAUCUGUGCGAGGCCUAUGUUGGCAUAGAGCCGCACUUUGAUCUUUUCCGGUAUCUUUUCUGUCUGAGGAAGAAGGGAGCAGUUGGAGGCUCCAAGGUUGCAGGUGGAGUAUACCUCAACCUCCGUGAUGGGAUGAAGAAUCGCUACCUGCACUGCCCAUGGAACACCUCCUUGACCGAAUGGUACAGGAAGUGGUUCUACGUCAGGGAGGAACCGGGCAGCUCCACGUUCUGCGACGUGGGGUACGUUCCCGAGAAGAGGGCGAGCUGGACUGACCGCCCAGAGUUCGACGGUCAAGUGGCGGUUCUGAUGAAGCUGAUCGACUGGUCGCGCCUGGAUGGGCUCAGCGUGGUCGGCAACUUCAUUUGCCGCCGGGUGAUGCCCUGCCAGAAGAGGGUGCACUCGGCGUAUGAAUAUGCCGGAAGCACAGACCCGACCAGGAUGCGGUCGGAGAUCCUGGAGAAGGCGGAGGUACAACAGCUGCUGAACGAGCUGUUUAACUUCGCGGAUGGGGGCUUCACCCGUAGCAGUGAUCGGGUGCAAGCCUUCAAGUUAGGACGACCAGCACCAAAGGUAUGUAGCAGACUUCGUUUGAUCAUUCGUAUGUCGCCUGUAGUUGGCUCAUCUCUGUUACCUUUGCAGGUCGGUGAUGUCGACCGGUGCGUAGUGUACGUAUCACUGGCACCGGGGAUGGAAGAUCCUGUGGGAGAGGUCCCACCGGAGGAAGGCAGAGCCCGCCCCGUCCCGACCUCCGAGGAGAGGGUGGCGGGGAAAAGGCCAUUGCCGGUGGAUCCCCUGCCGACGCCGGAGCUGCCGGCAGACCUACCGGCGGAGAGCAGCCAAGCGCCGAAGCGUCGUCGGCUCGUGCGGAUCGUCGACGACGACGACGACGACGAGGAGGCUGCGCCGUCGUUGGUCCGACGGCCUCGGGGCCGCCCAGACGCUGCACCAGUCGCCACUGAUCGAGUGGCCAACGGCGCGGCUGCCCCGCAAGUUGCCGAGGUGGGGGCACAGGCGCCGACCGGCCGGGCGAGGAGGAGGUUCACCGCGACCCAUCGCCGGUCAGACCUGUAAGUGUUCAACUUACGUAUUUUGGACUCCCCCUUUUUUUUUUUUUUAAACUUUUGUUCCUGUAGUGCGGCAUCGGAUGUCGACCCUGGCCAAACUGCCGGCCAGGGAACGGGCGAGCCUGCCCGCGGUUCUCGGGAUGCGGCCCCCCAGACCACAGAACAGCCGACUGCUGCAGUCGCGCCUGGGAGCACCGAGGAGCUCCCGAGCGCGGCGCCGACUACAACAAGCAGCCCGACCAGGGCUGGGGAGGCUCCCCCAACUGACUCUUCGGAGAAGGGAAAGUCUCCGACCGCUCCUCCUGCCGGGGGGAGUGAAGUCCCCCCGCCGCCCCGAGCAGAAGCCUCUCCGGCUGCGGGCUCCCCAGGUCUGGUCCAAGGGACGUUGACGCCUGGGACCACCACCGGGGGUGACGCAGCCCAGGAGGAGGAAACCAGGGCGGCCUCCGACGACGAGGUAGAAGAGAUCGAGGGUCGUCCCCGUGAUGGCCGCCAACACGUGUAUGUGUGGCGCCAACGCGGGGAUCACUUUAUCGGUCAUGAGGAGCUUGCCGAGUCCGAAGAGGCCGCCAGGGUGGAGCGCGCGGCCAAGCGCCUUGUCGACGAAGUCAAGGUAAGCGUCGUUUUGAGCUGCCGCGCAUUCUUUUGCCUUGUCUUCUGCGCAUUGUUAUAUGCUUGCUUUGUAGGACGUUAUGAAAACGGCGAAGUACCGGAAACGGUGCUUUGACCAGAUAGAAGGCGUCAUGGCCGAGAACAAGGCCCUUGCCGCGGAGGUAGACCGGUUGCGGGCGGAGGUCGGAGAGAAGGUGGUCGAGAUGAGCACCGAGAAGGAGCGUCGUCUCGACCUCGCUCGUCGCCUGGCCGACCAGUACCGGCUGCAGGAAGGUUAGUCUCACGCUCCGAGCAGUUUCGCAGACUUGUAUAGUUUGCUUCGCUGACCAGUUUAGGAUUCACGCAGACUUGGAGGAGGAGGUGGCGAGCCUCCAACAAGAGAAGGAGCAGCUCGGCCAACAGCUCGCCAGUGCGCAGGAGUCCGGACGGCGAGCGGAAGAGGAAUUAAGUCGUAAAGACCGGGAGUUAGCUGGUAAUGGGUGCCGCCUUGUUGGUUGCUACCUGCCCCUUUGCUUGUUUGGUAUGCCGAAAGUAACGUUUCGUUUCGUUUGCAGUGCUCAAGGUGAACACCAAAAAGCACCUGGAUGAGCUGGUCAAGGACCGGGACUCCUGGAAGGUCAACUGUUGCAGGAUCUGGAAGGGAGUGUCCCCGGUCCUGGACCUGAUCAGUCCCGAGCUCCCGGAGAGCCAGCCCCGCGCGCCGCAGUUGACCCCGGUUCAAAAGGCGCAACGGGCGUGGGACUGGCUCCAGCAGUUUGUGAAGGACGCCGGGGAGUUUGCCGGCGCGCACGUCCUCAGCAUGGUACGCGCCCACUACCCCCUUGUCGACUUGAGCAGGCUGGAGAAGGGGUACCCGAAGGAAGUCGGCCCACAGGAAGCGGACGAACUUCGGGGUAGUCUGCUGGACUUGUCGUCGACAGUGAUCGGCGACAUCAACCUGUGCGGAACGGCCACUCCUCCAGACCAGCCGAGCUCAGAUAGGUCGGCCAGGGAGUUGUCGGGCGCGUCCUUUGCUGGAGAUGGGCGGUCGACGCCUGCGGUCUCGACCAGCCAGGCGCCGGUGGCCCCGACCCCUUCGUCCGGGCAGCAGGGCCAGGCGGGUGAUCAGCCCGAGCAGCUAGGCCAAUAAAGUAGUCUGUAGGAAUAGACUAGUAUCUGCCCGUCAGGGUAUUUAUUGUAAACUUUGUAUGUAAAGUUUGUAAUAAAGUUUUCUUUUUGUCAUGACUGUUGUUUUGAGCGCUGUAAAAAUAUCUGAGUGAUGUGUCAUCGUAUUUGUCUUGGUUGUCGCCAAGAGCAUCCAUUGCGGGAGUUUUGCCGAGUGCUGUGUAUGACAAGGUAUAGGCAAAAAAUAGAGAAUUAUAUUGUCACAAAUUAUAAGACACUUACAAAAGAAAGUCGCUAAAACUUUAUGGAUAGAAACGUCGCAGUUUGUCGAUGUGCCAAGAGUUAGGCACUCGUGUUCCGUCUGGGUAUGCCAAUCUGUAGGACGUAGGUCGUGUGACCUCGGUCACCACGAAGGGUCCUUCCCAGGGAGUAGAUAACUUGUGCAUUCCCUCCUGGCUUGUUUUCCAUCGAAGCACCAGAUCGCCGACCACGAAGGAACGGUCCUUGACGUUCCUGUUGUAGUAUCGCCUGACUGCCGUGAGAUAUUUUGCUGUUCGGAGACAUGAAACUAAACGCUUUUCCUCCAUGCAAUUGAUUUCGAGUUCUCUGGCGUUGUCGGCGGUCGACUGGUCGAAGUGCUCAAUUCUAGGGGAUCCGAAGUGUAUGUCGGACGGCAGAACCGCCUCUGCGCCGUACACCAUGAAAUAGGGAGACACCCCCGUGUUUCGACUGGUCUGAGUUCGAAGGCCCCAGACCACUGCCGGCAAUUCUUUCAUCCAUCGACCGGGUGCUCUGUCGUUCUCGGUGUACAAUCUUUUCUUUAGGGCGUCGACGAUCAUUCCAUUAGCACGUUCGACCUGACCGUUGGCACGUGGAUGUGCCACUGACACAUAUUUUAUGACUAUGCCUCUGUCAUCGCAGAAAUCCCAAAAGGUGGUGCCAGUAAACUGAGUGCCCAGGUCGGUGAUUAUGCUGUUCGGGAUGCCGAAUCUGUGUAUGAUUUGAUUGAGGAACUCCACAGCCUUCUCGGAAGUUGCCUUGACCAGGGGCAUGUAUUCAAUCCACUUGGAGAACUUGUCGAUUAACACGAAGACAAACUUGAAGUUGCCCGGGGCUGGUUUAAAUGGUCCGAUCAUGUCAAGCCCCCAGCAGGCAAAGGGCCAAGACGACGGGAUGGUUUGAAUUUCAUGGGCAGGUACGUGGGUCCUCUUAGCGAAAAACUGACAUCCUUCGCAACGCCGAACCAGUUUUUCUGCAUCGCUGACCGCGGUCGGCCAGUAAAAACCUGCUCGGAAAGCCUUUCCGACCAGCGUUCUAGAUGCGGCGUGGUUGCCGCAGGAUCCGGCGUGUAUGUCCUCCAAGAGCUUGAUACCAUCGUCUUGGGGUAUGCACUUGAGCAGUACCUCGGAGCUUGCGUUUUUCCGCAUGAGUUUUCCGUCGACCAGGAUGUAGUUCUUUGACCGUCGGAUGAGACGCUCGUUCUCUGUUUUGUCCUGAAAACCUGUCCCGUCUGAGAUGUAUUUGAUGAACGGGACACGCCAGUCGCGCCCGCCGGUUGUCGGAGUGGCGUCAUCUAUGAGCAUUGCCUCGUUGGGUUGCUUGUCGACCAGGGGGGAGCUUACGCUCGGCUCAUGGAUGUCCUGGACGAAAAUACCGCGCGGGAUUUGGGCCCGGGACGAGCCUAACUUUGACAACGCAUCUGCUGCUUGGUUCUUAUCCCGGACCACGUGGAUGUACUCUAUGCCAUAGAAGUUAGUUUCCCAUUUGCGAAUUUCUUUGCAGUAGAGAUCCAUCUUCUCGUGGGUUGCGUCCCACUCCUUGUUGAGCUGGUUGAUGACCAAAGCGGAGUCCCCGUAGACAUAGAGGCGCUUAACCCCCAGCUCAACGGCUAGUCGUACGCCAUGUAAGCAAGCUUCAUAUUCGGCGACAUUGUUUGACGCCGGGAAAAGGAUCCGAAGGACGUAGCGGAGUUUGUCCUUGUUUGGUGAUACGAACAAUAUCCCAGCGCCUGCACCGUUGAUGUUCAAGGACCCAUCAAAGAACAUUGACCAGUGGUCUGAGACAUCGGGAACGGACGGUUCGUUGAGAUCCGUCCAUUCGGCAAUGAAAUCGACCAGGGCUUGGGACUUGACAGUGGUGCGACUCUGAAACUCCAGGGAAAAUGGACAUAAUUCCAUUGCCCAUUUCACGAUUCUGCCAUUGGCGUCUUUAUUGCGCAGGAUGUCACCGAGGGGAAAGCUGGUUGUCACCAGGACUCGAUGGCCGUCGAAGUAGUGCUUCAGUUUUCUUGACGUUAUCAGGAUGGCGUAUAUAAGCUUCUGUAUUUGUGGGUACCUGGCCUUGGAUUCGUUUAAAACUUCGCUUAUGAAGUAAACGGGCCUCUGGACCUUGAAGACGUGACCUGGUUCAUCUCGCUCGACCACUAUUGCCGUGGAAACAACUCUGUCGGUUGCAGCAAUGUAAAGGAGCAGGUCUUCGUUGGGCUGAGGCGCUGUGAGAACAGGCGGUGAAGUGAGGAAGGUCUUAAGCUGAGUGAACGCAGCGUCGGCGUCUUCUAUCCAGGAGAAUUUUUCUGACGCUUUCAAUAGUUUGAAAAAGGGGAGGCCUUUUUCUCCCAGCCUUGAGAUGAAACGACUGAGAGCGGCCAUGCAUCCGGUUAGCUUCUGAAUAUCCUUGACGUUCUUCGGUGGUCGCAUGUCGAGUACGGCUUUGACUUUUGAAGGGUUUGGCCGUAUGCCGUCGCAACUGACGACGUUGCCGAGCAGUAGACCGGAAGGAACGCCGAAAAUGCAUUUCUUGGGGUUGAGCUUCCACUUGUACCUAUUGAGUGCCUUGAAGGUUCGGUCUAAGUUGUCGAUUAGGGUGCUCGCAUCCCUUGUUUUUACGACCACGUCGUCCACAUAGGCCUCGACGAGGUCGUCGCGAAUCUCGUCGUGGAGGCAUUGCUGGAUGGCCCUUUGAUAAGUGGCCCCGGCGUUUUUAAGUCCGAAAGACAUGGUAGUGUAACAGUAUGCGCCGAAAGGUGUGAUGAAGGAUGUUUUGAUCUGAUCUUCUUCUUUUAACGAGAUCUGGUGAUAACCAGAGUAGCAAUCUAGAAAGGAGAGGAGUUCGCAUCCGGCCGUUGAGUCGACCACCUCGUCGAUGCGAGGAAGACCAAAAGGAUCUUUAGGACAGUGUUUGUUGAGAUCGGUGUAAUCAACGCACAUUCUCCAUUCAUUAUUCUUUUUGCGUACAAGAACCGGAUUGGCGAGCCAAUCGGGAUGAUACACCUCUUUUAUGAAUCCGGCUGCUAGAAGCCGUGUUAUUUCUGUCCUAAUAGCCUCCUUUUUGUCACGAGCGAACCGUCGCAGUUUUUGCUUGAUUGGUCUUGCGGUCUUCGAGACGUUUAAGGAGUGCUCGAUCAGGUUCCGUGGGACGCCGGGCAUGUCUGCGGGUUUCCAUGCGAAAACGCUCACGUUGUCCCUUAGAAACCUGACGAGCGCGUCUUCCUAUUUUGGAUCCAGGUUAGCCCCGAUGAGGGCUGUCUUCUCGGGGUUGCCCUCGACCAGCUGCACUUCUUUGUACUCCUUGGAUUUCGAAUUCUUUCUGGCUGUCUCCUGCUCAGGUAAUCGGAGCUGGUCGGGGGGCAGCUGUGCGGCUUGGUUUGCUGUUUCCGCCAUGCGGAUUGAGAGGUCAAUUGCCUCGGUGAUCUUGAAACUUUCUUCUUCGCAGGUGUACGCAGUGUAGACGUUGCCUCUGACGGUCAGGACACCCUUCUCCGUGGGCAUCUUAAGCACUAGGUACGAGUAGUGCGGGACUGCCAUGAACUUUGUCAGCGAUGGGCGGCCCAGUAUGGCGUGGUAGGUCCCGUCGAAGUCCGCGACUACGAAGUUGAUGAACUCCGUCCGGAAGUGAUCGGGUGUGCCGAAUUGGACAGGCAAUGUUAUCUGUCCGAGGGGCACCGAACUUUGACCUGGCAAAACCCCCCAGAAUUGGGCGUCGUAAGGUUUUAGUUGGGCCGGUGAUAUCUUGAGGGCGGGCAGGCUGUUGCGGAAGAGGAUGUCAAUGGAGCUUCCCCCGUCCACGAGCACGCGCUCGAAUCUGAUGCUGUUGAUGCAAGGAUCGAGAAUUAGUGGGAAACGACCCGGCUCCGGGAUAGCGGCCCACUGGUCCUUCCUGCUGAACGCGAUCUCCCUAUGGGACCAGGCGGGAAAUUUCAGAUCUGCGAUCAGCCCGUCCGUGCUGUCUAUGUUGAGGCAGGCUCUCUUCAACAGCUUUCUUUCUCGCUUGGACUCAGUGGAGACCUUGCCCCCGAAAAUGGAGUGGACCACGUCGGUGGGGCUGACGUAUUGGUGUCGGGGGUCCCUGUCUUGGUCCUCGUCCUCAUCUUCGUGGUCGUGCCCGUCGCGUUUGUUACUUUUCUUGGCGGUGUCUUCUUGGGCGGCCCGCCGUGUAUAGAUAUUUUUGAGGACGCGGCACUCUUCCAUGGUAUGGUUAGACUUUGGAUGUAGCUGGCACGGUCCCUUCAACGUUUUGUUGUAGUCGUCUUGGUAGUCCCGUCGUCCAUUGGGACGUUUGACCGUGUUUACUUCGUGGUCGUAUUCGCGAGGGCGCUUUCCUCUGAAGUCGUCGCGGCUGUCGCGCCGCCGAUCCCAACCCUCUCGGUGAUCGCGGUUGUCGGAGCGACGGUGAUUUCUGUUGUCGUAGCGGCCGCGACCGUCGUCUCGCCGGGAGGGCUGGUCGGUGCCUCUCGCAUCGUCUCGGAUUAGUUUUUCUGCGUCAUCAGCAUCGGCAUAAUUUUUAGCCGUGGCGAGGAGCUCUGCUACUGUUGAUGGACGUUUACGCAACAGCUUGUUCCUCAGCGCUUCAUGGAAACGUAAGCCCUUGAUAAAGGCUGAUAUGGCCUCGUCAUGAGAAAUCUUCGGGAUUUUGAGACGCAUAUCCGAGAAUCGUCGGAUGUAAUCACGCAGAGGUUCAUUCUUCCUGUCUCUUAUCCUUUCAAGGUCAUACUUGUUUCCGGGCUGUUCGCAUGUGGCGAUGAAGUUGUCAAUGAAAGCCUGUCGUAGUUCUUCCCAAGAGUCGAAGGAGUCCUCGGGCAAGCCGAGAAGCCACUGAUGACCAGCCUGGUCGAGGACUACGGGGAAGUAGUUAGCCAUGACGUGCUCAUCUCCUGCCGCUGAUCGGACGGCGAUUUCGUAGAGGGUGAUCCAGUUCUCUGGAUUUUCCUUGCCGUCGUAUUUUUUAAGUUUUUCGAGCUUGAAAUUUCUGGGCCACACGACCUGGCGGAGGUGUGAGGAGAACUGCCUUAGGCCCGGGGGACCAUGGGUCGCAUCGUACUCGAUGCGGCGUAGGUUUUCGUGGACUGCUCUCUCUGCGGCGCGCCUGUUGAUGCGGUCCCGGGCAUCUUUGGGAGGGAUGUUGUGGCGGAGAUCCCUGUGUUGAUCUUCUUCUUCCUGGCCGCGUACGCGGUUCUGCUGGCGGCGGCCAUCGGCGUCUCGACCACCAUCGUCGCGCCGUGAGUCCCCUCGACGGUUGUCGGGGGAGCGCCUGCGGCGACGCCUGCUGGGCGAGGCCCGGCUACGAUGAGUCUGGUCGGAGGCGGCUUCCGUAUAAGGGACGUCCUGGACUCUCUUAAGCAGAGUUGCUGUCUGUCCCAUCGCGGCGAUCAGGUGUGCUCGGAUACUGGUCCGGACCCCCUGGCAUUCUGGUGUGUCAGGAAGCCGAUCCAGGUUGGCCAUGGCAACAGCCACGUUGGCGCUUGGCGUUUUGUAGACCGGCUGGUCCCCGACCAUGUCAAAGGCAUCGUUGAGGUUACCCGGUGGCGUCUGUUGUUGCUCGUCCGCACGCCGUCGGGCGCGAUCGGCGUUACGCUGUUCGCGGAGUUGCCUCUGGUCGUCUGUUUCUCCGUCAACAACCGGUUCGUCGGCGCUGACAUUGAAUACAAUAUCCCCUCGCCGGGGGGGGGGAAUAUCGGGAACCGGUCGAAACCCGGAGGGUGUGAAGGGAAAUCCAGGUCGUAGCCCUCGUCUUCGGUGUUUAUAACCUCGGUGGGGACGGAGCCGGUGCUUGAGUUGGUGCUGGAAACCUGGCCGUUCCGUAGCUCUCGGAUUGUCACCAUGUUGACAUGGUGACGAUUGUUCCUUGUCGGCGACCAGCCCGCUUUGCUGAAAACGGAUUGAACAUGCUGUGAGUAGACAGAGGCCGAGUUAUUCAGGCCGCAAGGAUGGUCUCCCUUUUUGAGCUCGACGGAUCGGCCUGAGGAGGUUGAGGUUAUCGCCAGGGACGUUCCCAGCCGUUCGUGUGUGGUGACACGAGUUGGCCGGCGGGAUUUCGAAAAAUCCGCUUGAGUGGCUUGGUCGGGCCGGCGCAGAAUUCCAUCUAUUAGUUGGGAGACUUCGAGCAGCUUGGAGUCGGCGCGAUCGAGCGCUUGGAGGAGGUCCGAGCAGUCGAUCUCCUUUCCCUUGUAGAGUGGGAACGGUGGCCGGGAGUUUGGUGCCGUCAUGCGUGUGGUCGGAGACGGCGUGAUCUCAGAUUGGAUCUGGAUCUCUUUCGGGACCGUGGUCGGGAAGCCGCCGCUGCACGUCGUCCACGUGAUCUGGCCGACGGUAAACGUGAGGCCUUCGGGCACGGUCGCGGAAGCUGGGAUCGUGACCAUCUUGUUCGCCGGAAAAGUUGCACGCACACCCCCUACCUGGCGCGCCACUGUCGACGAAAGCUGGUCGGCAGUCUACCUUGGGGUAUACCCACGGUAGUAGUUUAUCGGUAGACGGUGCGCAAACUACGAACUCGAUGGUGACGCAAGACACGGACAAGCUUUUUAUCCAGGUUCGGCCGCCGAGUUGGCGUAAUACCUACGUCCUGCGUCUGGUUGUAUUGGAUUGUGUUUAGAGAUAAUCUACCCUAGGGGGUCCCCUUGCCCCUCCUUAUAUAGUCUGGAGGGCAGGGUUACAGAUCUAGAAACUAAUCCUAGCCGGUUACAAUUGCCAUAGAUAAUUCGAUAUCAAUUCCUAUUCUAACCGACUAGAAUCCUGCUUGAUCUCCACGUCCUGUUUCCUUGCGCGAAACUCGGGCUAUCGGAUCAAGCCUUGAACUCGUCUCGUAGUGGGCCAAGCUUCCUAGCUGAAGUCUAGCCGUAAGGGUAUAGGGGUUUAUACCCCCACACCGUGCGUUCUCCUCCCCUUUAUGCCCGCGCCUCCGUGUACGGCCCGCCCAUAGCUCCUUCGACGGCGCCGCCUAGGAACGCGGAGAAAAUAUGACAAAGGAACGGCCAAAAAUAAAAAGAAAGACCUUUCUUUUGAAAAAACAAACAAAUAAAAGGAAUGCAACACGAGGACUUCCCAGGAGGUCACCCAUCCUAGUACUACUCUCGCCCAAGCACGCUUAACUUCGGAGUUCUGAUGGGAUCCGGUGCUUUAGUGCUGGUAUGAUCGCAUCCGACAUACCGUGCGUUCUCCUCCCCUUUAUGCCCGCGCCUCCGUGUACGGCCCGCCCAUAGCUCCUUCGACGGCGCCGCCUAGGAACGCGGAGAAAAUAUGACAAAGGAACGGCCAAAAAUAAAAAGAAAGACCUUUCUUUUGAAAAAACAAACAAAAAAAAGGAAUGCAACACGAGGACUUCCCAGGAGGUCACCCAUCCUAGUACUACUCUCGCCCAAGCACGCUUAACUUCGGAGUUCUGAUGGGAUCCGGUGCUUUAGUGCUGGUAUGAUCGCAUCCGACAUACCGUGCGUUCUCCUCCCCUUUAUGCCCGCGCCUCCGUGUACGGCCCGCCCAUAGCUCUUUCGACGGCGCCGCCUAGGAACGCGGAGAAAAUAUGACAAAGGAACGGCCAAAAAUAAAAGAAAGACCUUUCUUUUGAAAAAACAAACGCCUCCGUGUACGGCCCGCCCAUAGCUCCUCCGACGGCCCCGCCUAGGAACGCGAAGAAAAUAUGACAAAGGAACGCCCAAAAAUAAAAAGAAAGACCUUUCUUUUGAAAAAACAAACAUUAAAAAGGAAUGCAACACGAGGACUUCCCAGGAGGUCACCAAUCCUAGUACUACUCUCGCCCAAGCACGCUUAACUUCGAAGUUCUGAUGGGAUCCGGUGCUUUAGUGCUGGUAUGAUCGCAUCCGACAUACCGUGCGUUCUCCUCCCCUUUAUGCCCGCGCCUCCGUGUACGGCCCGCCCAUAGCUCCUUCGACGGCGCCGCCUAGGAACGCGGAGAAAAUAUGACAAAGGAACGGCCAAAAAUAAAAAGAAAGACCUUUCUUUUGAAAAAACAAACAAAAAAAAGGAAUGCAACACGAGGACUUCCCAGGAGGUCACCCAUCCUAGUACUACUCUCGCCCAAGCACGCUUAACUUCGGAGUUCUGAUGGGAUCCGGUGCUUUAGUGCUGGUAUGAUCGCAUCCGACAUACCGUGCGUUCUCCUCCCCUUUAUGCCCGCGCCUCCGUGUACGGCCCGCCCAUAGCUCCUUCGACGGCGCCGCCUAGGAACGCGGAGAAAAUAUGACAAAGGAACGGCCAAAAAUAAAAAGAAAGACCUUUCUUUUGAAAAAACAAACAAAAAAAAGGAAUGCAACACGAGGACUUCCCAGGAGGUCACCCAUCCUAGUACUACUCUCGCCCAAGCACGCUUAACUUCGGAGUUCUGAUGGGAUCCGGUGCUUUAGUGCUGGUAUGAUCGCAUCCGACAUACCGUGCGUUCUCCUCCCCUUUAUGCCCGCGCCUCCGUGUACGGCCCGCCCAUAGCUCCUUCGACGGCGCCGCCUAGGAACGCGGAGAAAAUAUGACAAAGGAACGGCCAAAAAUAAAAAGAAAGACCUUUCUUUUGAAAAAAAAAACAAAAAAAAGGAAUGCAACACGAGGACUUCCCAGGAGGUCACCCAUCCUAGUACUACUCUCGCCCAAGCACGCUUAACUUCGGAGUUCUGAUGGGAUCCGGUGCUUUAUUGCUGGUAUGAUCGCAUCCGACAUACCGUGCGUUCUCCUCCCCUUUAUGCCCGCACCUCCGUGUACGGCCCGCCCAUAGCUCCUUCGACGGCGCCGCCUAGGAACGCGGAGAAAAUAUGACAAAGGAACGGCCAAAAAUAAAAAGAAAGACCUUUCUUUUGAAAAAACAAACAAAAAAAAGGAAUGCAACACGAGGACUUCCCAGGAGGUCACCCAUCCUAGUACUACUCUCGCCCAAGCACGCUUAACUUCGGAGUUCUGAUGGGAUCCGGUGCUUUAGUGCUGGUAUGAUCGCAUCCGACAUACCGUGCGUUCUCCUCCCCUUUAUGCCCGCGCCUCCGUGUACGGCCCGCCCAUAGCUCCUUCGACGGCGCCGCCUAGGAACGCGGAGAAAAUAUGACAAAGGAACGGCCAAAAAUAAAAAGAAAGACCUUUCUUUUGAAAAAACAAACAAAUAAAAGGAAUGCAACACGAGGACUUCCCAGGAGGUCACCCAUCCUAGUACUACUCUCGCCCAAGCACGCUUAACUUCGAAGUUCUGAUGGGAUCCGGUGCUUUAGUGCUGGUAUGAUCGUAUCCGACAUACCGUGCGUUCUCCUCCCCUGAAUGCCCGCGCCUCCGUGUACGGCCCGCCCAGAGCUCUUUAGAUGGGACUUCCGAUGGAAUCGGAGACAAUAGGACAAAGGAACGGCCAAAAAUAAAAAGAAAGACCUUUCUUCCGAAAAAACAAACGCCUCCGUGUACGGCCCGCCCAUAGCUCCUUCGACGGCGCCGCCUAGGAACGCGGAGAAAAUAUGACAAAGGAACGGCCAAAAAUAAAAAGAAAGACCUUUCUUUUGAAAAAACAAACAAAAAAAAGGAAUGCAACACGAGGACUUCCCAGGAGGUCACCCAUCCUAGUACUACUCUCGCCCAAGCACGCUUAACUUCGGAGUUCUGAUGGGAUCCGGUGCUUUAGUGCUGGUAUGAUCGCAUCCGACAUACCGUGCGUUCUCCUCCCCUUUAUGCCCGCGCCUCCGUGUACGGCCCGCCCAUAGCUCCUUCGACGGCGCCGCCUAGGAACGCGGAGAAAAUAUGACAAAGGAACGGCCAAAAAUAAAAAGAAAGACCUUUCUUUUGAAAAAACAAACGCCUCCGUGUACGGCCCGCCCAUAGCUCCUUCGACGGCGCCGCCUAGGAACGCGGAGAAAAUAUGACAAAGGAACGGCCAAAAAUAAAAAGAAAGACCUUUCUUUUGAAAAAACAAACAAAAAAAAGGAAUGCAACACGAGGACUUCCCAGGAGGUCACCCAUCCUAGUACUACUCUCGCCCAAGCACGCUUAACUUCGGAGUUCUGAUGGGAUCCGGUGCUUUAGUGCUGGUAUGAUCGCAUCCGACAUACCGUGCGUUCUCCUCCCCUUUAUGCCCGCGCCUCCGUGUACGGCCCGCCCAUAGCUCCUUCGACGGCGCCGCCUAGGAACGCGGAGAAAAUAUGACAAAGGAACGGCCAAAAAUAAAAAGAAAGACCUUUCUUUUGAAAAAACAAACAAAAAAAAGGAAUGCAACACGAGGACUUCCCAGGAGGUCACCCAUCCUAGUACUACUCUCGCCCAAGCACGCUUAACUUCGGAGUUCUGAUGGGAUCCGGUGCUUUAGUGCUGGUAUGAUCGCAUCCGACAUACCGUGCGUUCUCCUCCCCUUUAUGCCCGCGCCUCCGUGUACGGCCCGCCCAUAGCUCCUUCGACGGCGCCGCCUAGGAACGCGGAGAAAAUAUGACAAAGGAACGGCCAAAAAUAAAAAGAAAGACCUUUCUUUUGAAAAAACAAACAAAUAAAAGGAAUGCAACACGAGGACUUCCCAGGAGGUCACCCAUCCUAGUACUACUCUCGCCCAAGCACGCUUAACUUCGGAGUUCUGAUGGGAUCCGGUGCUUUAGUGCUGGUAUGAUCGCAUCCGACAUACCGUGCGUUCUCCUCCCCUUUAUGCCCGCGCCUCCGUGUACGGCCCGCCCAUAGCUCCUUCGACGGCGCCGCCUAGGAACGCGGAGAAAAUAUGACAAAGGAACGGCCAAAAAUAAAAAGAAAGACCUUUCUUUUGAAAAAACAAACAAAUAAAAGGAAUGCAACACGAGGACUUCCCAGGAGGUCACCCAUCCUAGUACUACUCUCGCCCAAGCACGCUUAACUUCGGAGCUCUGAUGGGAUCCGGUGCUUUAGUGCUGGUAUGAUCGCAUCCGACAUACCGUGCGUUCUCCUCCCCUUUAUGCCCGCGCCUCCGUGUACGGCCCGCCCAUAGCUCCUUCGACGGCGCCGCCUAGGAACGCGGAGAAAAUAUGACAAAGGAACGGCCAAAAAUAAAAAGAAAGACCUUUCUUUUGAAAAAACAAACAAAAAAAAGGAAUGCAACACGAGGACUUCCCAGGAGGUCACCCAUCCUAGUACUACUCUCGCCCAAGCACGCUUAACUUCGGAGUUCUGAUGGGAUCCGGUGCUUUAGUGCUGGUAUGAUCGCAUCCGACAUACCGUGCGUUCUCCUCCCCUUUAUGCCCGCGCCUCCGUGUACGGCCCGCCCAUAGCUCCUUCGACGGCGCCGCCUAGGAACGCGGAGAAAAUAUGACAAAGGAACGGCCAAAAAUAAAAAGAAAGACCUUUCUUUUGAAAAAACAAACAAAAAAAAGGAAUGCAACACGAGGACUUCCCAGGAGGUCACCCAUCCUAGUACUACUCUCGCCCAAGCACGCUUAACUUCGGAGUUCUGAUGGGAUCCGGUGCUUUAGUGCUGGUAUGAUCACAUCCGACAUACCGUGCGUUCUCCUCCCCUUUAUGCCCGCGCCUCCGUGUACGGCCCGCCCAUAGCUCCUUCGACGGCGCCGCCUAGGAACGCGGAGAAAAUAUGACAAAGGAACGGCCAAAAAUAAAAAGAAAGACCUUUCUUUUGAAAAAACAAACAAAAAAAAGGAAUGCAACACGAGGACUUCCCAGGAGGUCACCCAUUCUAGUACUACUCUCGCCCAAGCAAGCUUAACUUCGGAGUUCUGAUGGGAUCCGGUGCUUUAGUGCUGGUAUGAUCGCAUCCGACAUACCGUGCGUUCUCCUCCCCUUUAUGCCCGCGCCUCCGUGUACGGCCCGCCCAUAGCUCCUUCGACGGCGCCGCCUAGGAACGCGGAGAAAAUAUGACAAAGGAACGGCCAAAAAUAAAAAGAAAGACCUUUCUUUUGAAAAAACAAACAAAAAAAAGGAAUGCAACACGAGGACUUCCCAAAAUAUGACAAAGGAACGGCCAAAAAUAAAAAGAAAGACCUUUCUUUUGAAAAAACAAACAAAAAAAAGGAAUGCAACACGAGGACUUCCCAGGAGGUCACCCAUUCUAGUACUACUCUCGCCCAAGCAAGCUUAACUUCGGAGUUCUGAUGGGAUCCGGUGCUUUAGUGCUCGUAUGAUCGCAUCCGACAUACCGUGCGUUCUCCUCCCCUUUAUGCCCGCGCCUCCGUGUACGGCCCGCCCAUAGCUCCUUCGACGGCGCCGCCUAUGAACGCGGAGAAAAUAUGACAAAGGAACGGCCAAAAAUAAAAAGAAAGACCUUUCUUUUGAAAAAACAAACAAAAAAAAGGAAUGCAACACGAGGACUUCCCAGGAGGUCACCCAUCCUAGUACUACUCUCGCCCAAGCACGCUUAACUUCGGAGUUCUGAUGGGAUCCGGUGCUUUAGUGCUGGUAUGAUCGCAUCCGACAUACCGUGCGUUCUCCUCCCCUUUAUGCCCGCGCCUCCGUGUACGGCCCGCCCAUAGCUCCUUCGACGGCGCCGCCUAGGAACGCGGAGAAAAUAUGACAAAGGAACGGCCAAAAAUAAAAAGAAAGACCUUUCUUUUGAAAAAACAAACAAAAAAAAGGAAUGCAACACGAGGACUUCCCAGGAGGUCACCCAUCCUAGUACUACUCUCGCCCAAGCACGCUUAACUUCGGAGUUCUGAUGGGAUCCGGUGCUUUAGUGCUGGUAUGAUCGCAUCCGACAUACCGUGCGUUCUCCUCCCCUUUAUGCCCGCGCCUCCGUGUACGGCCCGCCCAUAGCUCCUUCGACGGCGCCGCCUAGGAACGCGGAGAAAAUAUGACAAAGGAACGGCCAAAAAUAACAAGAAAGACCUUUCUUUUGAAAAAACAAACAAAAAAAAGGAAUGCAACACGAGGACUUCCCAGGAGGUCACCAAUCCUAGUACUACUCUCGCCCAAGCACGCUUAACUUCGGAGUUCUGAUGGGAUCCGGUGCUUUAGUGCUGGUAUGAUCGCAUCCGACAUACCGUGCGUUCUCCUCCCCUUUAUGCCCGCGCCUCCGUGUACGGCCCGCCCAUAGCUCCUUCGACGGCGCCGCCUAGGAACGCGGAGAAAAUAUGACAAAGGAACGGCCAAAAAUAAAAAGAAAGACCUUUCUUUUGAAAAAACAAACAAAUAAAAGGAAUGCAACACGAGGACUUCCCAGGAGGUCACCCAUCCUAGUACUACUCUCGCCCAAGCACGCUUAACUUCGGAGUUCUGAUGGGAUCCGGUGCUUUAGUGCUGGUAUGAUCGCAUCCGACAUACCGUGCGUUCUCCUCCCCUUUAUGCCCGCGCCUCCGUGUACGGCCCGCCCAUAGCUCCUUCGACGGCGCCGCCUAGGAACGCGGAGAAAAUAUGACAAAGGAACGGCCAAAAAUAAAAAGAAAGACCUUUCUUUUGAAAAAACAAACAAAAAAAAGGAAUGCAACACGAGGACUUCCCAGGAGGUCACCCAUCCUAGUACUACUCUCGCCCAAGCACGCUUAACUUCGGAGUUCUGAUGGGAUCCGGUGCUUUAGUGCUGGUAUGAUCGCAUCCGACAUACCGUGCGUUCUCCUCCCCUUUAUGCCCGCGCCUCCGUGUACGGCCCGCCCAUAGCUCCUUCGACGGCGCCGCCUAGGAACGCGGAGAAAAUAUGACAAAGGAACGGCCAAAAAUAAAAAGAAAGACCUUUCUUUUGAAAAAACAAACAAAAAAAAGGAAUGCAACACGAGGACUUCCCAGGAGGUCACCCAUCCUAGUACUACUCUCGCCCAAGCACGCUUAACUUCGGAGUUCUGAUGGGAUCCGGUGCUUUAGUGCUGGUAUGAUCGCAUCCGACAUACCGUGCGUUCUCCUCCCCUUUAUGCCCGCGCCUCCGUGUACGGCCCGCCCAUAGCUCCUUCGACGGCGCCGCCUAGGAACGCGGAGAAAAUAUGACAAAGGAACGGCCAAAAAUAAAAAGAAAGACCUUUCUUUUGAAAAAACAAACGCCUCCGUGUACGGCCCGCCCAUAGCUCCUUCGACGGCGCCGCCUAGGAACGCGGAGAAAAUAUGACAAAGGAACGGCCAAAAAUAAAAAGAAAGACCUUUCUUUUGAAAAAACAAACAAAAAAAAGGAAUGCAACACGAGGACUUCCCAGGAGGUCACCCAUCCUAGUACUACUCUCGCCCAAGCACGCUUAACUUCGGAGUUCUGAUGGGAUCCGGUGCUUUAGUGCUGGUAUGAUCGCAUCCGACAUACCGUGCGUUCUCCUCCCCUUUAUGCCCGCGCCUCCGUGUACGGCCCGCCCAUAGCUCCUUCGACGGCGCCGCCUAGGAACGCGGAGAAAAUAUGACAAAGGAACGGCCAAAAAUAAAAAGAAAGACCUUUCUUUUGAAAAAACAAACAAAAAAAAGGAAUGCAACACGAGGACUUCCCAGGAGGUCACCCAUCCUAGUACUACUCUCGCCCAAGCACGCUUAACUUCGGAGUUCUGAUGGGAUCCGGUGCUUUAGUGCUGGUAUGAUCGCAUCCGACAUACCGUGCGUUCUCCUCCCCUUUAUGCCCGCGCCUCCGUGUACGGCCCGCCCAUAGCUCCUUCGACGGCGCCGCCUAGGAACGCGGAGAAAAUAUGACAAAGGAACGGCCCAAAAUAAAAAGAAAGACCUUUCUUUUGAAAAAACAAACAAAAAAAAGGGAAUGCAACACGAGGACUUCCCAGGAGGUCACCCAUCCUAGUACUACUCUCGCCCAAGCACGCUUAACUUCGGAGUUCUGAUGGGAUCCGGUGCUUUAGUGCUGGUAUGAUCGCAUCCGACAUACCGUGCGUUCUCCUCCCCUUUAUGCCCGCGCCUCCGUGUACGGCCCGCCCAUAGCUCCUUCGACGGCGCCGCCUAGGAACGCGGAGAAAAUAUGACAAAGGAACGACCAAAAAUAAAAAGAAAGACCUUUCUUUUGAAAAAACAAACAAAAAAAAGGAAUGCAACACGAGGACUUCCCAGGAGGUCACCCAUCCUAGUACUACUCUCGCCCAAGCACGCUUAACUUCGGAGUUCUGAUGGGAUCCGGUGCUUUAGUGCUGGUAUGAUCGCAUCCGACAUACCGUGCGUUCUCCUCCCCUUUAUGCCCGCGCCUCCGUGUACGGCCCGCCCAUAGCUCCUUCGACGGCGCCGCCUAGGAACGCGGAGAAAAUAUGACAAAGGAACGGCCAAAAAUAAAAAGAAAGACCUUUCUUUUGAAAAAACAAACAAAAAAAAGGAAUGCAACACGAGGACUUCCCAGGAGGUCACCCAUCCUAGUACUACUCUCGCCCAAGCACGCUUAACUUCGGAGUUCUGAUGGGAUCCGGUGCUUUAGUGCUGGUAUGAUCGCAUCCGACAUACCGUGCGUUCUCCUCCCCUUUAUGCCCGCGCCUCCGUGUACGGCCCGCCCAUAGCUCCUUCGACGGCGCCGCCUAGGAACGCGGAGAAAAUAUGACAAAGGAACGGCCAAAAAUAAAAAGAAAGACCUUUCUUUUGAAAAAACAAACAAAAAAAAGGAAUGCAACACGAAGACUUCCCAGGAGGUCACCCAUCCUAGUACUACUCUCGCCCAAGCACGCUUAACUUCGGAGUUCUGAUGGGAUCCGGUGCUUUAGUGCUGGUAUGAUCGCAUCCGACAUACCGUGCGUUCUCCUCCCCUUUAUGCCCGCGCCUCCGUGUACGGCCCGCCCAUAGCUCCUUCGACGGCGCCGCCUAGGAACGCGGAGAAAAUAUGACAAAGGAACGGCCAAAAAUAAAAAGAAAGACCUUUCUUUUGAAAAAACAAACAAAAAAAAGGAAUGCAACACGAGGACUUCCCAGGAGGUCACCCAUCCUAGUACUACUCUCGCCCAAGCACGCUUAACUUCGGAGUUCUGAUGGGAUCCGGUGCUUUAGUGCUGGUAUGAUCGCAUCCGACAUACCGUGCGUUCUCCUCCCCUUUAUGCCCGCGCCUCCGUGUACGGCCCGCCCAUAGCUCCUUCGACGGCGCCGCCUAGGAACGCGGAGAAAAUAUGACAAAGGAACGGCCAAAAAUAAAAAGAAAGACCUUUCUUUUGAAAAAACAAACAAAAAAAAGGAAUGCAACACGAGGACUUCCCAGGAGGUCACCCAUCCUAGUACUACUCUCGCCCAAGCACGCUUAACUUCGGAGUUCUGAUGGGAUCCGGUGCUUUAGUGCUGGUAUGAUCGCAUCCGACAUACCGUGCGUUCUCCUCCCCUUUAUGCCCGCGCCUCCGUGUACGGCCCGCCCAUAGCUCCUUCGACGGCGCCGCCUAGGAACGCGGAGAAAAUAUGACAAAGGAACGGCCAAAAAUAAAAAGAAAGACCUUUCUUUUGAAAAAACAAACAAAAAAAAGGAAUGCAACACGAGGACUUCCCAGGAGGUCACCCAUCCUAGUACUACUCUCGCCCAAGCACGCUUAACUUCGGAGUUCUGAUGGGAUCCGGUGCUUUAGUGCUGGUAUGAUCGCAUCCGACAUACCGUGCGUUCUCCUCCCCUUUAUGCCCGCGCCUCCGUGUACGGCCCGCCCAUAGCUCCUUCGACGGCGCCGCCUAGGAACGCGGAGAAAAUAUGACAAAGGAACGGCCAAAAAUAAAAAGAAAGACCUUUCUUUUGAAAAAACAAACAAAAAAAAGGAAUGCAACACGAGGACUUCCCAGGAGGUCACCCAUCCUAGUACUACUCUCGCCCAAGCACGCUUAACUUCGGAGUUCUGAUGGGAUCCGGUGCUUUAGUGCUGGUAUGAUCGCAUCCGACAUACCGUGCGUUCUCCUCCCCUUUAUGCCCGCGCCUCCGUGUACGGUCCGCCCAUAGCUCCUUCGACGGCGCCGCCUAGGAACGCGGAGAAAAUAUGACAAAGGAACGGCCAAAAAUAAAAAGAAAGUCCUUUCUUUUGAAAAAACAAACAAAAAAAAGGUAUGCAACACGAGGACUUCCUAGGAGGUCACCCAUCCUAGUACUACUCUCGCCCAAGCACGCUUAACUUCGGAGUUCUGAUGGGAUCCGGUGCUUUAGUGCUGGUAUGAUCGCAUCCGACAUACCGUGCGUUCUCCUCCCCUUUAUGCCCGCGCCUCCGUGUACGGCCCGCCCAUAGCUCCUUCGACGGCGCCGCCUAGGAACGCGGAGAAAAUAUGACAAAGGAACGGCCAAAAAUAAAAAGAAAGACCUUUCUUUUGAAAAAACAAACAAAAAAAAGGAAUGCAACACGAGGACUUCCCAGGAGGUCACCCAUCCUAGUACUACUCUCGCCCAAGCACGCUUAACUUCGGAGUUCUGAUGGGAUCCGGUGCUUUAGUGCUGGUAUGAUCGCAUCCGACAUACCGUGCGUUCUCCUCCCCUUUAUGCCCGCGCCUCCGUGUACGGCCCGCCCAUAGCUCCUUCGACGGCGCCGCCUAGGAACGCGGAGAAAAUAUGACAAAGGAACGGCCAAAAAUAAAAAGAAAGACCUUUCUUUGAAAAAACAAAGAAAUAAAAGGAAUGCAACACGAGGACUUCCCAGGAGGUCACCCAUCCUAGUACUACUCUCGCCCAAGCACGCUUAACUUCGGAGUUCUGAUGGGAUCCGGUGCUUUAGUGCUGGUAUGAUCGCAUUCGACAUACCGUGCGUUCUCCUCCCCUUUAUGCCCGCGCCUCCGUGUACGGCCCGCCCAUAGCUCCUUCGACGGCGCCGCCUAGGAACGCGGAGAAAAUAUGACAAAGGAACGGCCAAAAAUAAAAAGAAAGACCUUUCUUUUGAAAAAACAAACAAAUAAAAGGAAUGCAACACGAGGACUUCCCAGGAGGUCACCCAUCCUAGUACUACUCUCGCCCAAGCACGCUUAACUUCGGAGUUCUGAUGGGAUCCGGUGCUUUAGUGCUGGUAUGAUCGCAUCCGACAUACCGUGCGUUCUCCUCCCCUUUAUGCCCGCGCCUCCGUGUACGGCCCGCCCAUAGCUCCUUCGACGGCGCCGCCUAGGAACGCGGAGAAAAUAUGACAAAGGAACGGCCAAAAAUAAAAAGAAAGACCUUUCUUUUGAAAAAACAAACGCCUCCGUGUACGGCCCGCCCAUAGCUCCUUCGACGGCGCCGCCUAGGAACGCGGAGAAAAUAUGACAAAGGAACGGCCAAAAAUAAAAAGAAAGACCUUUCUUUUGAAAAAACAAACAAAAAAAAGGAAUGCAACACGAGGACUUCCCAGGAGGUCACCCAUCCUAUUACUACUCUCGCCCAAGCACGCUUAACUUCGGAGUUCUGAUGGGAUCCGGUGCUUUAGUGCUGGUAUGAUCGCAUCCGACAUACCGUGCGUUCUCCUCCCCUUUAUGCCCGCGCCUCCGUGUAC
This 40608-nucleotide long non-coding RNA is filed under the name Sorghum bicolor (sorghum). Its description in RNAcentral is "long non-coding RNA (SBIC_LNC015499)". Lineage: Eukaryota; Viridiplantae; Streptophyta; Magnoliopsida; Poales; Poaceae. The record is from RNAcentral.